GGAAGGAGGGGGGCAGGGUGGGGGGGAAUGCGUAGGUGGCGAGGGGGUGCCGGAAUUAUUGGGGGGAAGGGGGGUGGAGGGGGUGUGUGAGGUAGGAUGGGAAAGCACGGGGGUCAACCGGGGGGGGGAAUUGGAAACGGGGGAACUAGAGUGGAGAAGAGGAGAGUGGAAUUCCAGGUGUAGCGGUGAAAUGCGUAGAGAUGAGGAAGAACACCAGUGGCGAAGGCGACUCUCUGGGAUGUAACUGACGCUGAGGCGCGAAAGCGUGGGGAGCGAACAGGAUUAGAUACCCGGGUAGUC
This 300-nucleotide ribosomal RNA is filed under the name uncultured Enterorhabdus sp. Its description in RNAcentral is "partial 16S ribosomal RNA". The stretch from base 52 to 300 matches the Rfam family "Bacterial small subunit ribosomal RNA", at positions 547 to 795 of the family's 1533-position model. The record is from RNAcentral. Lineage: Bacteria; Bacillati; Actinomycetota; Coriobacteriia; Eggerthellales; Eggerthellaceae.